UACGGAGGGUGCAAGCGUUGUUCGGAAUCACUGGGCGUAAAGCGCGUGUAGGCGGUCCGCUAAGUCUGAUGUGAAAGCCCGGGGCUCACCCCCGGAAGUGCAUUGGAAACUGACGGACUCGAGUCCCGGAGAGGAGAGUGGAAUUCCUGGUGUAGCGGUGAAAUGCGUAGAUAUCAGGAGGAACACCGGUGGCGAAGGCGGCUCUCUGGACGGUGACUGACGCUGAGACGCGAAAGCGUGGGGAGCAAACAGG
This 253-nucleotide ribosomal RNA is filed under the name uncultured bacterium. RNAcentral describes it as "partial 16S ribosomal RNA". It matches the Rfam family "Bacterial small subunit ribosomal RNA", at positions 524 to 776 of the family's 1533-position model. RNAcentral also lists the same sequence under 1 other name. The record is from RNAcentral.